This 62-nucleotide transfer RNA is filed under the name Botrylloides nigrum. RNAcentral describes it as "transfer RNA-His". Lineage: Eukaryota; Metazoa; Chordata; Ascidiacea; Stolidobranchia; Styelidae. The record is from RNAcentral.
UAUAAUAUAGUUUAAUUAAAACGUAAAUUUGUGGUAUUUAAGAUAAGGAAGUUUUAUUAUUG